Molecule: long non-coding RNA, 1388 nt
Organism: Cydia splendana
Lineage: Eukaryota; Metazoa; Arthropoda; Insecta; Lepidoptera; Tortricidae
Exons: 2
Source: RefSeq, a predicted model, not a curated record
AUAGCAUUGGUUGUCUUCUCCGCUCCGUUAGAUUCCAACCAAAUAACAUUGGUUGUCUUCUCCGCUCCGUUAGAUUCCAACCAAUAGCAUUGGUUGUCUUCUCCGCUCCGUUAGAUUCCAACCAAUAGCAUUGGUUGUCUUCUCCGCUCCGUUAGAUUCCAACCAAUGGUAUUGGUUGAUUCUUGCAUGUCUAAUCUCAUCUACUAUCAUUUCAAAGGCAGUUUUAGGGUAUGUGAUAUUUGAAGAUGCAAGUUUAACAUGAAAACGCACUGGUCUAGACAUACAUUUAUAGAAGCAUAUUAUUUUAAUUAUGUUUGUUACAUUUUGUACAUACCUAUUAGUACAUUAAUGUCGUGUGCAAUGUAGACGUAAACUUAGAUAACGCUAAUAUAACCUUCGAUUUCCCGAUUGUAAUACGAUUAAAUCGUUAAUCGAUUACUAUAGUUAAUAUUGUUUAUGUAAGACGAACAGUAAACUUGUAUGUACUUAACCAAAUAUCUUCGUGAUUAUAUUUUUUCUUAGUGUUGCUUACCUUGUUUUGAAUAAUAGAAGAUUUCAGUCAAUAAAUGUUUGUUUAAACUUUUUAAGUUGAAUAACAAGUGUAGAGAUGUAAUGCAUUAUUAUAUUCCAUCGUAUUUUCACGGAAACGUACGAACGUGUUUUGCUAUUUCAGUCAAUGAUGGAACAAAAAGUACUGAGAUUGACUGAAGUAGCAUGCCAAAUACCAAUGUACGUCUGUAAGAGCAGUUGUGGCAAUGAAGAUGAUUUAGGUAUAUGUUUGAGCCAUAUCUUGCCCACAUUUUAUAAUAAUUUUAGCAAAAGCUUAUUGCUUUUACUAGCGGUUAAUAACUAAAUUUUUAACUUGGGACUGCCAUUAGAGAUAAUCUAAUAAAAAUAUUUUAAAGAUCAUACUACGAGGCACACUUGGUCCAAUAAUUUGAGGAAAAGAUUACAGAAUUAAGCGACAUUACCUAUUAGAGAAAAGGAAGUUGUGUUUCCUUGUAAAUCGUGUAAUCAGACCGCGUAGUGUAUAAUACCUACUUUUAAAUACCCCUCUUGUAAAGCGCCAUUUUCAAAAUUGUACAGAUAUUGUUCAAUACAAGAUACGCAACGCAUCAAAAUUUCACUAGGUUAAAGAGUACUAGCACUAGUUCGACCCGAUAUUUAUAAAUAUUACUUCCUCUGUCCUUUUCCUUCUUAAUACAUUGUACUAUCUUAACCUUUCCUCUCUUUCCAAAUCGGGUCAAAAAUAAAAGAUUUAUUUAUGAAAAGAGUAUAUUAUACCUUAAUAUAUUGAACUUGUAAAGAUAGACUGAUUUAGUGGUACCCAUAAAUGUUUAGAUUUAAUCUACUUUCUUUUAGAAUAAACUAUUAACUGUGUGAUUUAA